Zingiber officinale is the source of this 427-nucleotide long non-coding RNA. RefSeq lists it as uncharacterized. NCBI's taxonomy places the organism in Eukaryota, Viridiplantae, Streptophyta, Magnoliopsida, Zingiberales, Zingiberaceae. The record is from RefSeq and is a predicted model, not a curated record. The transcript has 2 exons.
GUCAGGGGUGACACAUGUCAUUUUGCAUCAUAUUGCAUUUAUUGCUUGUGAUUGUUGUAUAUUGGUUGUUGCAUUUUGGUAUUUGCAUAUGAUUGACAUGGCAUACAGGAGACAUGAGGUAUUUGGUCUGACGAUCGUAUGUUCCGGAUAGGAGGCCCUAGUAGCAGGUAGAUUUUGGACUCGCUUGGAGUAUUCUGUCUGCCGGUUCCCACGUCACAUCCGAAGACUUGUUUUUGAUUUUCAUUUGUACUUUAUUUGGUAUAUGUUUUUGGUUUACUUAUCAAUGUAAAUUUAUAUUUUGGUUUCGGAGUGUUGUUAUUUGGUAUUUUGUGUUGUUUAUUGUGUUGUGUAAACCUAGCCGACUAACAGUCCUUGUUUUUUGUUUGUGAAGAUUUCUAUCGUAUUUCCACUGUAUUUCUUCUUUUUA